Cinara cedri is the source of this 816-nucleotide non-coding RNA. The record is from the annotation of a GenBank genome assembly. Lineage: Eukaryota; Metazoa; Arthropoda; Insecta; Hemiptera; Aphididae.
CUGUAUUUGAGCCUUUGGCGUAAAUUCAAUAAAUAAAUACAUCCGACAAAUUUGUUUUCAUAAAUUGCCUUUAUUAUUGGCCUUCUUCACCCCGGUUUCUCCUUGAUUUUCUCAUCUAUUAUCGUAGUUGUCUAUGGAUUGUUCCUUAUGAGAUUACGUGAUAAUUUCUUUCUUUGUUUUUUCUCUUUUUUCAACCUUACCUAACAUUCCAUGUAGACUUACCUACUACCAUUCGUCCUAAAUGAUGGUCGGCACACCUCACAUCCUCUCUGUAUCCAGAUUUUCAAUAAUCUCUGGCAAACAAAAUUUCGAAGACUCCUACGUAAUACACAAAUAAUAUUAUGUAUAUAUUUAUAUAUUGGAAGAAUUACAAUCGGUACGACAAAUACGAUUGCACGUCAGAAAAGGUAAUCACCUUGAACGAUAACGGAUCAUGAAUAUAGCUGGCAUUGCCAUUGGCAUAAGCCUGCACAGUAUUGUAAUGGGCGAGUUGAAUAAAUAACAUAUUACCCAAAAGCAGGUUGGGCAGUUUUAAUUUCAAUUCUAAUUAUGCAGCGAUAAAUCGUCUCAAACGAGAUUUUUUUCUCGCCGGAUUUUCGGGAAUCGAUUUUGAUUUUCCGUUUUUCCUAUGGUUUUUUUUUUCUUUUGCCGGAGUUUUCCCGUUAUUAAGAAAAAUACGAUCAAUUUCAAACAUUCCCUCUCUACACCCCUCCCCCGCUUGCACCAAUCAGAUCCGAAAAUCUGUUAAUCCCAAUGAAGUUUUCAAUUGGUCGAAAUCGUGUCAACUACAGACUGAAAAAAAAGCACACACCGUAG